Molecule: ribosomal RNA, 336 nt
Filed under: uncultured Pseudomonadota bacterium
Lineage: Bacteria; Pseudomonadati; Pseudomonadota
Description: bacterial SSU rRNA
Rfam family: Bacterial small subunit ribosomal RNA
Source: RNAcentral
AACGAACGCUGGCGGCGUGCUUAACACAUGCAAGUCGAACGUGAUUGAGAGCUUGCUCUCAUGAAAGUGGCGCACGGGUGAGUAACACGUGGAUAAUCUGCCUGGCGAUUCGGGAUAACACUUCGAAAGGGGUGCUAAUACCGGAUAAGCCCACAGUCUCUUCGGAGAGUGCGGGAAAAGGGGGCCUCUGUAUAUGCUCCUGUCGCUAGAUGAGUCCGCGGCCCAUUAGCUAGUUGGUAGGGUAAUGGCCUACCAAGGCGACGAUCUAUAGCUGGUCUGAGAGGACGAUCAGCCACACUGGGACUGAGACACGGCCCAGACUCCUACGGGAGGCUG